CCCUGCGGAUGGAGCUGAGACCAGUCGAAGAUACCAGCUGGCUGCAACUGUUUAUUAAAAACACAGCACUGUGCAAACACGAAAGUGGACGUAUACGGUGUGACGCCUGCCCGGUGCCGGAAGGUUAAUUGAUGGGGUUAUCCGUAAGGAGAAGCUCUUGAUCGAAGCCCCGGUAAACGGCGGCCGUAACUAUAACGGUCCUAAGGUAGCGAAAUUCCUUGUCGGGUAAGUUCCGACCUGCACGAAUGGCGUAAUGAUGGCCAGGCUGUCUCCACCCGAGACUCAGUGAAAUUGAACUCGCUGUGAAGAUGCAGUGUACCCGCGGCAAGACGGAAAGACCCCGUGAACCUUUACUAUAGCUUGACACUGAACAUUGAGCCUUGAUGUGUAGGAUAGGUGGGAGGCUUUGAAGCGUGGACGCCAGUCUGCGUGGAGCCAACCUUGAAAUACCACCCUUUAAUGUUUGAUGUUCUAACGUUGGCCCCUUACCGGGGUUGCGGACAGUGUCUGGUGGGUAGUUUGACUGGGGCGGUCUCCUCCCAAAGCGUAACGGAGGAGCACGAAGGUUAGCUAAUCCUGGUCGGACAUCAGGAGGUUAGUGCAAUGGCAUAAGCUAGCUUGACUGCGAGCGUGACGGCGCGAGCAGGUGCGAAAGCAGGUCAUAGUGAUCCGGUGGUUCUGAAUGGAAGGGCCAUCGCUCAACGGAUAAAAGGUACUCCGGGGAUAACAGGCUGAUACCGCCCAAGAGUUCAUAUCGACGGCGGUGUUUGGCACCUCGAUGUCGGCUCAUCACAUCCUGGGGCUGAAGUAGGUCCCAAGGGUAUGGCUGUUCGCCAUUUAAAGUGGUACGCGAGCUGGGUUUAGAACGUCGUGAGACAGUUCGGUCCCUAUCUGCCGUGGGCGCUGGAGAAUUGAGGGGGGCUGCUCCUAGUACGAGAGGACCGGAGUGGACGCAUCACUGGUGUUCGGGUUGUCAUGCCAAUGGCACUGCCCGGUAGCUAAAUGCGGAAGAGAUAAGUGCUGAAAGCAUCUAAGCACGAAACUUGCCCCGAGAUGAGUUCUCCCUGAGACUUUAAGUCUCCUGAAGGAACGUUAAAGACGAUGACGUUGAUAGGCCGGGUGUGUAAGCGCAGCGAUGCGUUGAGCUAACCGGUACUAAUGAACCGUGAGGCUUAACCUU
This 1180-nucleotide ribosomal RNA is filed under the name Klebsiella pneumoniae. Its description in RNAcentral is "partial 23S ribosomal RNA". It matches the Rfam family "Bacterial large subunit ribosomal RNA", at positions 1754 to 2925 of the family's 2925-position model. Lineage: Bacteria; Pseudomonadati; Pseudomonadota; Gammaproteobacteria; Enterobacterales; Enterobacteriaceae. The record is from RNAcentral.